GUCGGAAAAGCUUGCUCCGGCGGCAGGCGGGCGGGGAGCCCUGGAGCAGGCUGCCCGGGAGGCUCCGCGCCUGGAGGACGUCCUCCUAGGCAGCAGAGGAAACAGCAUUUAGAAAAAAGCGGCUGUCAGAUGGUUAUGAAAAGGGGUUGGAAACCAGCCCUGAGAGCCGUUUCCAGCAAUGCGCUCCAGCUGGAAGACUGCAUCAAGCGGGGCUCCGUCAGGGGUCUGUGCUCAGGCUGGUGCCACGCGGUGUCUUCCUUAGUGACUGGGCUGAUGGGAGAGAGAGCAGAGCUGCUAGAUCUGCGGGUGCUGGCGGGAUGGCAGGGACAGCCAGAUGUGUCAGAAAGCAGGACUUCAAUUCAUAAUAAUCUCAACACAUGGGAGAAAGGGUCAAAAAAAAAAUCUAUGGGGCUAUUUGGCAUGCGCAAGUGCCAAGUCCUGCAUCCCUGUAAGACUCACCGGUAGCAUCAGUGCAAAUGAAGGAAACAACUGGGAAGCCACUGGUCUUACAGGCAAGGAUCCAAGGAUGAUAGCAGCUAUUAAAGGAUCCAAGGAUGGUAGCAGCUAUCAAAGGAUCCAAGGAUGAUAGCAGCUAUCAAACCAACCCUUGAUCAACAACAUCAUGCCUUUGCCAAAUGUGUGUGCCAUGAUCCCUCAGGACAGUCUCAGCUCUUCUCCUUUCAUCACUUCUUUUAAAGAGAAGGAUUUCAGGGGAGGGCUCUGAAACAAGAGAAACAGGACCCUUGCCAAGCCAGGAAAUGCAGAGUUAAAGGAUGCAACACCCCUGGCCAGGAUGGAGGAGCCAGCCAGUGUAGGGGGAGUAGGUUGGCUUGCGAUAUUGGGGAGAGACCCAAAGCAGGGUGGGGAGCAGAUGCAUCAUGAGAGAGCACGGAGCAGCUGGUCAUAUGCUAACAGCACCUGCUUCUCCAAGGACAACUUCCAUGCCCAGUCCUUGGGUGCAGCGUGCAGGAGCAGGGAGGAUCACGUGGCAUUUCCCCUUCAGCUGACUAAAGCAAGGGCUCUGUUUCAGCACAGCAUUUGCUAGGAGGGCCUCAGGGAGCUCCAGCAAACCAAAAGAUGGACACUAAGGGGAAAGUUGUCACUGGUGGCCAGUGAAUCACCCAGCUGACCCCGCUCUAGCCCUGCUUGCUAAGUGUGACCAAGAUGCUUAAAAGCAAAACUGCAACAGGCACGUUAUCUGCCAUGUGGCUUGUGUCUAAUAGUGCCAUAUGGCACAGGGAUAAAGGGCCACGUGGCAAGAACAUGCCCAUCAGGAGGAAAGUGCAGGGUGGAAGUGGAGGCAUCUAGGCUUGGUGUGAGGCUCACCGCCCGACAAGGGCGAAGGACAUAGGAACCAAGAAGGAAAGCAGUGCUGUACAUAAUCGGCAAGGGGACAGCAAGAAAACCUGGUCUCGCAACCGUGUAAGGUUCAACCUGAGAACAAGCAUAAUUUCCAGACUCCUGACGAAGGCAAGGCAGAAGGGUUUGCCUACAUCCUGACGACUCAGGCAUGUGGCUGCAGUUACCAUGCUUGCCUAUAUGAAUCAGGCAUUUGCGUAGGCUAUCAUCAAGGCUGCAUGUGCUAAUUAGCUGCAAAAUCAUGUUUGCGGCUUUACCUACAUGGUUUGGGGCUGAUUUUGAAAGCAGGCCCCUGGGAGCACCCAGUGUUCAAAGGGUUAUGUUUCUCAUUAAUAAAAGCACCUGGAUACCUUG
Long non-coding RNA from Alligator mississippiensis (American alligator), 1713 nucleotides. RefSeq lists it as uncharacterized. The record is from RefSeq and is a predicted model, not a curated record. The transcript is spliced from 2 exons. Lineage: Eukaryota; Metazoa; Chordata; Crocodylia; Alligatoridae.